Molecule: transfer RNA, 72 nt
Filed under: Hortaea werneckii EXF-2000
Lineage: Eukaryota; Fungi; Ascomycota; Dothideomycetes; Mycosphaerellales; Teratosphaeriaceae
Description: tRNA-Ala (TGC) (tRNA-Ala-TGC-1-1)
Rfam family: tRNA
About the family: Transfer RNA (tRNA) molecules are approximately 80 nucleotides in length.
Source: RNAcentral
GGGGUUGUAGCUCAGUGGUAGAGCGCCCGCUUUGCAUGCGGGAGGUCUUGGGUUCAAUCCCCAACAGCUCCA